RNAcentral lists this transfer RNA (66 nucleotides) under Trox sp. TRO01. RNAcentral describes it as "tRNA-Leu". The record is from RNAcentral. Lineage: Eukaryota; Metazoa; Arthropoda; Insecta; Coleoptera; Trogidae.
AUUACUUUGGCAGAAUAGUGCGUUAAAUUUAGAAUUUAUUUAUGUAUUUAAGUGAUACAAGUAAUA